GACACCGAGUAAUCAAGAGGUUAGUUUGGAGCUGCAGCCAGCAUGUUGUGUCUACGAAUACAGCUCUGUAUUCUACUUUUGUUGUCAGGACUAAGUACCGAGAAGAACAGUGUGACCCAAAGACAAGGACAGCUGACUGGGGUACAAAGUGACUCUGUCACACUGGCCUGUACUUUCUCGACUGAAGAUGCAGGUUAUGACAUAUACUGGUACAAACAGGGCAGCAGCGGCCAGACGAAGUACCUCUUCCGAAGGGUCCUGUAUUCACCCAUCGUUGUGGUGACUUUCGCCCCUGAAGAUCUAGAAACAACAUAUUUAACCAUGAAGGCUCCAGAAAUCCUGUUUUGGACAGCAACAGCAUUUCUAUCUUUGAGUGCGGUGGUGGGUGACUCGAUCCAGUCCAAUGAACCCGAGGUGUCCAGGUCAGAAGGAGACACCGUGACCCUCAGCUGUUCCUACGAUACCAGCUACACUGGGGCUGUCUAUCUCUACUGGUACCGUCAGUAUCCGAACCGAGCCCUGCAGUACAUCCUCCGGAGAGGAGCAAAAGGAAGCACGUUCAGUGAUACCGCAGGUUUCGCCCAGGAGAGGUUUUCUUCCCAGACUGAUGACAGCUCCACAGUUCUGAACAUCACAGCCCCGGAGCUGGCAGACACAGCGGUGUAUCUCUGCGCCCUGCAGAGAGCACAGUGACAG
Gopherus flavomarginatus (Mexican gopher tortoise) is the source of this 696-nucleotide non-coding RNA. Lineage: Eukaryota; Metazoa; Chordata; Testudines; Testudinidae. The record is from the annotation of a RefSeq genome assembly.